This 198-nucleotide non-coding RNA is filed under the name Clostridium acetobutylicum. RNAcentral's name for it is "T-box sequence". It matches the Rfam family "T-box leader". From Rfam's summary of the family: Uncharged tRNA acts as the effector for transcription antitermination of genes in the T-box leader family. T-boxes are found upstream of many aminoacyl-tRNA synthetase genes and some amino acid biosynthetic genes usually in Gram-positive bacteria. Lineage: Bacteria; Bacillati; Bacillota; Clostridia; Eubacteriales; Clostridiaceae. The record is from RNAcentral.
UAUAAACCGUUGAAGAGAAUAGUAACUGUUUAACAAUUUUAGAGAGUCAGUGGUUGGUGAAAACUGAUAUUUGUUAUUUAGUGAAUCCGCCUCGGAGGGAUUGCGAUGAGCAAUACGGCGAUUGUGUCGUUAAAUUUCAAUUAAGAUAAUCAUUUUAAAUGAUUAAUUAGGGUGGUAACGCGGUCUUUCGUCCCUUAC